UACGUAGGGAGCAAGCGUUGUCCGGAAUCAUUGGGCGUAAAGCGCGCGUAGGUGGCCAUGUAAGUCCGCUGUGAAAGUCAAAGGCUCAACCUUUGAAAGCCGGUGGAUACUGCAUGGCUAGAGUACGGGAGAGGCGAGUGGAAUUCCUGGUGUAGCGGUGGAAUGCGCAGAUAUCAGGAGGAACACCAAUAGCGAAGGCAGCUCGCUGGGACGUUACUGACACUGAGGCGCGAAAGCGUGGGGAGCGAACAGG
RNAcentral lists this ribosomal RNA (253 nucleotides) under uncultured bacterium. Its description in RNAcentral is "partial 16S ribosomal RNA". It matches the Rfam family "Bacterial small subunit ribosomal RNA", at positions 524 to 776 of the family's 1533-position model. The record is from RNAcentral.